Molecule: ribosomal RNA, 460 nt
Filed under: uncultured bacterium
Lineage: Bacteria
Description: partial 16S ribosomal RNA
Rfam family: Bacterial small subunit ribosomal RNA
Source: RNAcentral
CCUACGGGAGGCAGCAGUGAGGAAUAUUGGUCAAUGGGCGCGAGCCUGAACCAGCCAAGUAGCGUGAAGGAUGACUGCCCUACGGGUUGUAAACUUCUUUUAUAAAGGAAUAAAGUGAGGCACGUGUGCCUUUUUGUAUGUACUUUAUGAAUAAGGAUCGGCUUACUCCGUGCCAGCAGCCGCGGUAAUACGGAGGAUCCGAGCGUUAUCCGGAUUUAUUGGGGUUAAAGGGAGCGUAGAUGGGGUGUUAAGGCAGUUGUGAAAGUUUGCGGCUCAACCGUAAAAUUGCAAUUGAUACUGGCAGCCUUGAGUACAGUUGAGGUAGGCGGAAUUCGUGGUGUAGCGGGGAAAUGCUUAGAUAUCACGAAGAACUCCGAUUGCGAAGGCAGCUUACUAACCUGCCACUGACAUUGAUGCUCGAAAGUGUGGGUAUCGAACAGGAUUAGAUACCCCUGUAGUC